CCCAGCUAAAAGCUGUCCUUCCCCUCAAAUCCGUGCAAGGAAAAACCCAAGCAGCCGCUUCACUACUUGAUCUUAUCCGAGCGGCUGCCCUGGUGCUGGGGUUUCAGGUUUCACCCGGCCGGCUGGGUUAGGGCAAGGCGGGCGCUGCCCUCGCCCUAUGGCGGGUCCGGUGGCGCCCCUUCCCGCCUGCCGGCGUGGCCCCAAGUCCGGUGCAUGCCUGCGAUGACGACUGCCCGCGGCUUAAGCUCUUAUCCCUACGCGGGCUUCUCCAACCCAUCAUUUCCCCCCCUAGCUCGCUUUUAUGUUUUGUUUUGGUUGCUUUCCUUUUUUCCCUUUAUCGUUUGUUGAAUACCUUUCUCGGUAUAUUGGCUAAGCUCAAGUGUGGUAUCUGUUCCUUUUUCAUUUGUUGAAGCCAUUGAUCUUUCUUUUCUCGUUUUUAGACUUUUGAUUGCCUUGGAUUUGCAGGUGGUUUCGUUCUUAUGUUUAUAUGUUAGAAUUUGUUCCGGUUACUGUAACCUAAUUUUUUUUUGCUAUUGUUGUUAUUUGAGGGACGAAUGAGUUUGUUAAUCUAGUGAGCUAAGUUCUUAGCUAUUGUUGGCAUUAAGUGAGGGAUUAGUUUGUUCAUCUACUUAUAGUUUGUUAACCUUGGGUUGGAGUUUUUCCUCUGGAAUAAUGGGUUUAAAGACGUGUUCAGGGUUUAGGACCUGAAGUUUUUGAUAGUGUGGGGAUUUGAGGUUCCGAGCUAAUCUGUUUGUCGUGAUAUAUAAGUUGGUUCAGAAUUCUAAUUCCAGCAGUGCGGAGUUCCGUAAAUGGGAUAAGAAUGUCUAGCUACACGCUCUGCCAAAUAUGGCUCAUAUUGCCUACUAAAUGGGUCGGACUUCCGGUAGAGGUUGUGUUUUUGGAUUUUUGAGCGCCACCAGCAGGAUCUCCCUCGAGGCUGCGUGAAAUUGAAUUAGGUGAAGAGUCAGUGGGAGAAGUCUAUCUCUGUUGUUGAAUGUGUUUAGGUUUUUACCCGUCUUGUCCUAUCAAAAGAAUUUGGUCUUAAUCAAACAUAUAAACGUGAUCGAAUUUUAUCUGCCUUUGAGAAAUAACUGGGUUCGGCAUUAAUACUUCGUGAAUUUUGUGAUUUCGAAAUAAACUUUUGCUUAACAUUAUGAUUCGGAAGUGGAUUCUUAUGAAGUGGAUCAUGUGGUGCAAGUUCGAGCAAACAAUUGAAGUCAUUGAGAUUCCAAGGAUGCUUGUUCUGAACCUUUUAUUCUCUUCUUUAUGACCUCAACAACCUCGAUCUGUUCAAUUAUAUAUCAACUAUUUUGACGUAAGCGUGAAGUUACACCUUUUUUGUGUAUGUUUUAUUGUUGACGUGUUUUUUUACCCUAUGUCACAUAGACAUACUCAGAACGGAGACUUGACAUUGUGUUUGUGGUUUUCCUUGAGACGAACGCAUAUGUGACCCGAAGAGAUCUUCCUGCUUUCAUUUGUACUUCUGUUAAUCUUUCUGUUGAAAACCUUUUUGAAAUAUGUCUUUACAUUAUAGUUGUAGUUUUGUUCAGACCCAUGUGUCUGUCACACGCAGAGAUCUUCCUGCUUUUGUUUGACUUCUGUUAGUAUUUUUGUUUAAACCAUUGUGAGAGAUAUGGUAUUUGCUGUUCUAUCAUUGUAUGUGAGUGAGAGAGAAAGAGGGAGAGAGAGAGAGAGAGAGAGAGAGAGAGAGAGAUAUUCUACAAGCAAUUGCUGACGAAGGAGGUGGAUAGAGUCUGCAAUUUGUUCUUCAAAACUUGUUUUGGUAUAACCGCUUAUUUAUUGCUUGUCACUGGAGGGCACAUCCAACUUCUUACUUCGUGGCAAGGAAGGCAACACAAGUCAGCUGACAUGAAUGGAGCCCGUGGGCGUGCAUUUGGCUAUCAUUGGAGGCGCCAAUACUCCAAAAGGUGUUUUGAUCGGUCCUUUCAUUGUCAAGAUUAUUCUGUGGAGUAAAUUGUUGUUCGGGAGAAGGAAAUUUUCCUUGGCCUAAUCAACUGAAAGGAGAAAACAUGGAAUCCACUCUGAAUGAGAUGAGAUUUGGAGACAUGGGUGUGAUUUGUUCAUUCAAGUCUUCAUGUUCUUCUUGUACCAUUCCUUUGCCAAGUCAAGAGGAACUAUCUUGAGCAAUAAUUGAGGGAUCUGCAUGGAAACCUGUGGCUGUGUCGCUCUGGCGCUGAAUUAGGAAGAGGUGGUUCAGGUGUCGAACAAAAAGUCUUGUCCUUCUUCAAACAGAAUGAUGCCAUUGUUGGUUCAUCUGUUUCUUCACGAGAACGAGGCGAUAUCGAAAUUCAAAUGCUAUAUGCAUUUAUCAAUAAAUCUUCGCAUCUUAUGCGUAAACUGAACGAGACCUUUCUCCAGGCGUCAAUAGGCCCAGGCAAAUUUGAGUAGCUGCCUUUGAAUCAUCUAGUCACCUCUCACAAGCACCUUGGGAAGCUGAAUGAAAAAACUUUUGGUUGAGUGCCGUCAAUCAAAUUCAUCGUCAUCAUCCGGGAAUAUUCUAUUGUUCAUAAUGUGAUAAAAGUCAGCUCGAGAAUUUGGUUUAUUGAUUCUUAUGUUUCAUCAAUGGGCUGGCUUUGGCUUUUGCUGCGAGAAGAUGGGUUCCUUUGACUAUAACAGGAGCGAUUUGUUGUUUUAUU
This is a long non-coding RNA of Nymphaea colorata (pocket water lily), 2657 nucleotides long. RefSeq lists it as uncharacterized. The transcript is spliced from 2 exons. The record is from RefSeq and is a predicted model, not a curated record. NCBI's taxonomy places the organism in Eukaryota, Viridiplantae, Streptophyta, Magnoliopsida, Nymphaeales, Nymphaeaceae.